CCCUAGUAACUGCGAGUGAAGCGGGAAAAGCUCAAAUUUAAAAUCUGGCAGUCUUUGAUUGUCCGAAUUGUAAUUUAGAGAAGCGCUGCCUGCGCCAGACUGUGUAUAAGUCUCCUGGAAUGGAGCGUCAUAGAGGGUGAGAAUCCCGUACAUGACACAGAUUGCUGGGGCACCAAGGUACGCUCUCAAAGAGUCGAGUUGUUUGGGAAUGCAGCUCAAAAUGGGUGGUAAAUUCCAUCUAAAGCUAAAUAUUGGCGAGAAACCGAUAGCGAACAAGUACCGUGAGGGAAAGAUGAAAAGAACUUUGGAAAGAGAGUUAAACAGUACGUGAAAUUGUUGAAAGGGAAACGCUUAAAGUCAGUCGCAUUGAAAGAAAUCACACUUGCUUUGGCUUGUGGCUUUUUCUUAGCAAUGGGUCAGCAUCAGUUUUAGAUUGUUGGAAAAGGGUUGGAGGAAUGUGGCAUCUCUGGAUGUGUUAUAGCCUUCAAUUGCAUACAAUGAUUGAGACUGAGGAACUCAGCACUUGUGCUUAGGAUGCUGGCAUAAUGGCUUUAAUCGACCCGUCUUGA
This 569-nucleotide ribosomal RNA is filed under the name Tricholomopsis sp. RNAcentral's name for it is "partial large subunit ribosomal RNA". It matches the Rfam family "Eukaryotic large subunit ribosomal RNA", at positions 78 to 657 of the family's 3401-position model. Lineage: Eukaryota; Fungi; Basidiomycota; Agaricomycetes; Agaricales. The record is from RNAcentral.